GACGAACGCUGGCGGCGUGCUUAACACAUGCAAGUCGAAUGAUGAAGCCGGAGCUUGCUCUGGUGAAUUAGUGGCGAACGGGUGAGUAACACGUGAGUAACCUGCCCUUGACUCUGGGAUAACUGCGGGAAACUGUAGCUAAUACCGGAUACGACCCUCGGAGGCAUCUCCUGGAGGUGGAAAGAAUUUCGGUCAAGGAUGGACUCGCGGCCUAUCAGCUAGUUGGUGAGGUAAAGGCUCACCAAGGCGACGACGGGUAGCCGGCCUGAGAGGGUGACCGGCCACACUGGGACUGAGACACGGCCCAGACUCCGACGGGAGGCAGCAGUGGGGAAUAUUGCACAAUGGGCGCAAGCCUGAUGCAGCAACGCCGCGUGAGGGACGACGGCCUUCGGGUUGUAAACCUCUUUUAGCAGGGAAGAAGCGAAAGUGACGGUACCUGCAGAAAAAGCACCGGCUAACUACGUGCCAGCCGCCGCCGUAA
Molecule: ribosomal RNA, 484 nt
Filed under: uncultured bacterium
Lineage: Bacteria
Description: partial 16S ribosomal RNA
Rfam family: Bacterial small subunit ribosomal RNA
Source: RNAcentral